GAUGAACGCUGGCGGCGUGCCUAAUACAUGCAAGUCGAGCGAACGGACGAGAAGCUUGCUUCUCUGAUGUUAGCAGCGGACGGGUGAGUAACACGUGGAUAACCUACCUAUAAGACUGGGAUAACUUCGGGAAACCGGAGCUAAUACCGGAUAAUAUUUUGAACCGCAUGGUUCAAAAGUGAAAGACGGUCUUGCUGUCACUUAUAGAUGGAUCCGCGCUGCAUUAGCUAGUUGGUAAGGUAACGGCUUACCAAGGCAACGAUGCAUAGCCGACCUGAGAGGGUGAUCGGCCACACUGGAACUGAGACACGGUCCAGACUCCUACGGGAGGCAGCAGUAGGGAAUCUUCCGCAAUGGGCGAAAGCCUGAAGGAGCAACGCCGCGUGAGUGAUGAAGGUCUUCGGAUCGUAAAACUCUGUUAUUAGGGAAGAACAUAUGUGUAAGUAACUGUGCACAUCUUGACGGUACCUAAUCAGAAAGCCACGGCUAACUACGUG
Molecule: ribosomal RNA, 497 nt
Filed under: uncultured bacterium
Lineage: Bacteria
Description: partial 16S ribosomal RNA
Rfam family: Bacterial small subunit ribosomal RNA
Source: RNAcentral